UUUAAGUAAAGAUGUUUUAUUCUAAAGUUUGAUAACCUUUAUAAACCUUAGUAGUGGAAGUUUAAAUAUUAUUUCUCUUACUGAGUUAUAUUGGAACUCACCCAAAUCUAUAUCCCCCCUCAUAUGAUGGAAAUGAUGAUUCGCUUGCUCAGUUGCCUCUUAAAGCCUAUUUGGAUCCAGUUACAGAUCUUUAGGAAUAUUAU
This 203-nucleotide long non-coding RNA is filed under the name Carica papaya (papaya). Its description in RNAcentral is "long non-coding RNA (CPAP_LNC006764)". Lineage: Eukaryota; Viridiplantae; Streptophyta; Magnoliopsida; Brassicales; Caricaceae. The record is from RNAcentral.